RNAcentral lists this ribosomal RNA (460 nucleotides) under uncultured bacterium. Its description in RNAcentral is "partial 16S ribosomal RNA". It matches the Rfam family "Bacterial small subunit ribosomal RNA", at positions 338 to 795 of the family's 1533-position model. The record is from RNAcentral.
CCUACGGGGUGCAGCAGUGAGGAAUAUUGGUCAAUGGACGAGAGUCUGAACCAGCCAAGUAGCGUGAAGGAUGACUGCCCUAUGGGUUGUAAACUUCUUUUAUAUGGGAAUAAAAUGUUCCACGUGUGGGAUUUUGUAUGUACCAUAUGAAUAAGGAUCGGCUAACUCCGUGCCAGCAGCCGCGGUAAUACGGAGGAUCCGAGCGUUAUCCGGAUUUAUUGGGUUUAAAGGGAGCGUAGGUUGAUUGUUAAGUCAGUUGUGAAAGUUUGCGGCUCAACCGUAAAAUUGCAGUUGAAACUGGCAGUCUUGAGUACAGUAGAGGUGGGCGGAAUUCGUGGUGUAGCGGUGAAAUGCUUAGAUAUCACGAAGAACUCCGAUUGCGAAGGCAGUUCACUGGACUGCAACUGACACUGAGGCUCGAAAGUGUGGGUAUCAAACAGGAUUAGAUACCCCAGUAGUC